RNAcentral lists this ribosomal RNA (2932 nucleotides) under Salmonella enterica subsp. diarizonae serovar 65:c:z str. SA20044251. RNAcentral's name for it is "bacterial LSU rRNA". It matches the Rfam family "Bacterial large subunit ribosomal RNA". Lineage: Bacteria; Pseudomonadati; Pseudomonadota; Gammaproteobacteria; Enterobacterales; Enterobacteriaceae. The record is from RNAcentral.
GGGUUGUGAGGUUAAGCGACCAAGCGUACACGGUGGAUGCCCUGGCAGUCAGAGGCGAUGAAGGACGUGCUAAUCUGCGAAAAGCGCCGGUAAGGUGAUAUGAACCGUUAUAACCGGCGAUGUCCGAAUGGGGAAACCCAGUGUGACUCGUCACACUAUCAUUAACUGAAUCCAUAGGUUAAUGAGGCGAACCGGGGGAACUGAAACAUCUAAGUACCCCGAGGAAAAGAAAUCAACCGAGAUUCCCCCAGUAGCGGCGAGCGAACGGGGAGGAGCCCAGAGCCUGAAUCAGCAUGUGUGUUAGUGGAAGCGUCUGGAAAGGCGCGCGAUACAGGGUGAGAGCCCCGUACACAAAAGCGCAUAUGCUGUGAGCUCGAUGAGUAGGGCGGGACACGUGGUAUCCUGUCUGAAUAUGGGGGGACCAUCCUCCAAGGCUAAAUACUCCUGACUGACCGAUAGUGAACCAGUACCGUGAGGGAAAGGCGAAAAGAACCCCGGCGAGGGGAGUGAAACAGAACCUGAAACCGUGUACGUACAAGCAGUGGGAGCCUCUCUUUAUGGGGGGUGACUGCGUACCUUUUGUAUAAUGGGUCAGCGACUUAUAUUCUGUAGCAAGGUUAACCGCAUAGGGGAGCCGAAGGGAAACCGAGUCUUAAUUGGGCGUUAAGUUGCAGGGUAUAGACCCGAAACCCGGUGAUCUAGCCAUGGGCAGGUUGAAGGUUGGGUAACACUAACUGGAGGACCGAACCGACUAAUGUUGAAAAAUUAGCGGAUGACCUGUGGCUGGGGGUGAAAGGCCAAUCAAACCGGGAGAUAGCUGGUUCUCCCCGAAAGCUAUUUAGGUAGCGCCUCGUGAACUCAUCUCCGGGGGUAGAGCACUGUUUCGGCUAGGGGGCCAUCCCGGCUUACCAACCCGAUGCAAACUGCGAAUACCGGAGAAUGUUAUCACGGGAGACACACGGCGGGUGCUAACGUCCGUCGUGAAGAGGGAAACAACCCAGACCGCCAGCUAAGGUCCCAAAGUCAUGGUUAAGUGGGAAACGAUGUGGGAAGGCCCAGACAGCCAGGAUGUUGGCUUAGAAGCAGCCAUCAUUUAAAGAAAGCGUAAUAGCUCACUGGUCGAGUCGGCCUGCGCGGAAGAUGUAACGGGGCUAAACCAUGCACCGAAGCUGCGGCAGCGACACUUUAGUGUUGUUGGGUAGGGGAGCGUUCUGUAAGCCGUUGAAGGUGUCCUGUGAGGGUGCUGGAGGUAUCAGAAGUGCGAAUGCUGACAUAAGUAACGAUAAAGCGGGUGAAAAGCCCGCUCGCCGGAAGACCAAGGGUUCCUGUCCAACGUUAAUCGGGGCAGGGUGAGUCGACCCCUAAGGCGAGGCCGAAAGGCGUAGUCGAUGGGAAACGGGUUAAUAUUCCCGUACUUGGUGUUACUGCGAAGGGGGGACGGAGAAGGCUAUGUUGGCCGGGCGACGGUAGUCCCGGUUUAAGCGUGUAGGCUGGUUUUCCAGGCAAAUCCGGAAAAUCAAGGCUGAGGCGUGAUGACGAGGCACCACGGUGCUGAAGCAACAAAUGCCCUGCUUCCAGGAAAAGCCUCUAAGCAUCAGGUAACAUCAAAUCGUACCCCAAACCGACACAGGUGGUCAGGUAGAGAAUACCAAGGCGCUUGAGAGAACUCGGGUGAAGGAACUAGGCAAAAUGGUGCCGUAACUUCGGGAGAAGGCACGCUGACACGUAGGUGAAGUGAUUUACUCAUGGAGCUGAAGUCAGUCGAAGAUACCAGCUGGCUGCAACUGUUUAUUAAAAACACAGCACUGUGCAAACACGAAAGUGGACGUAUACGGUGUGACGCCUGCCCGGUGCCGGAAGGUUAAUUGAUGGGGUCAGCGCAAGCGAAGCUCCUGAUCGAAGCCCCGGUAAACGGCGGCCGUAACUAUAACGGUCCUAAGGUAGCGAAAUUCCUUGUCGGGUAAGUUCCGACCUGCACGAAUGGCGUAAUGAUGGCCAGGCUGUCUCCACCCGAGACUCAGUGAAAUUGAACUCGCUGUGAAGAUGCAGUGUACCCGCGGCAAGACGGAAAGACCCCGUGAACCUUUACUAUAGCUUGACACUGAACAUUGAGCCUUGAUGUGUAGGAUAGGUGGGAGGCUUUGAAGCGUGGACGCCAGUCUGCGUGGAGCCGACCUUGAAAUACCACCCUUUAAUGUUUGAUGUUCUAACGUGGACCCGUAAUCCGGGUUGCGGACAGUGUCUGGUGGGUAGUUUGACUGGGGCGGUCUCCUCCUAAAGAGUAACGGAGGAGCACGAAGGUUGGCUAAUCCUGGUCGGACAUCAGGAGGUUAGUGCAAUGGCAUAAGCCAGCUUGACUGCGAGCGUGACGGCGCGAGCAGGUGCGAAAGCAGGUCAUAGUGAUCCGGUGGUUCUGAAUGGAAGGGCCAUCGCUCAACGGAUAAAAGGUACUCCGGGGAUAACAGGCUGAUACCGCCCAAGAGUUCAUAUCGACGGCGGUGUUUGGCACCUCGAUGUCGGCUCAUCACAUCCUGGGGCUGAAGUAGGUCCCAAGGGUAUGGCUGUUCGCCAUUUAAAGUGGUACGCGAGCUGGGUUUAGAACGUCGUGAGACAGUUCGGUCCCUAUCUGCCGUGGGCGCUGGAGAAUUGAGGGGGGCUGCUCCUAGUACGAGAGGACCGGAGUGGACGCAUCACUGGUGUUCGGGUUGUCAUGCCAAUGGCACUGCCCGGUAGCUAAAUGCGGAAAAGAUAAGUGCUGAAAGCAUCUAAGCACGAAACUUGCCCCGAGAUGAGUUCUCCCUGAGACUUUGAGUCUCCUGAAGGAACGUUAAAGACGAUGACGUUGAUAGGCCGGGUGUGUAAGCGCAGCGAUGCGUUGAGCUAACCGGUACUAAUGAACCGUGAGGCUUAACCUUACAACGCCGAAGCUGUU